RNAcentral lists this ribosomal RNA (253 nucleotides) under uncultured bacterium. Its description in RNAcentral is "partial 16S ribosomal RNA". It matches the Rfam family "Bacterial small subunit ribosomal RNA", at positions 524 to 776 of the family's 1533-position model. The record is from RNAcentral.
UACGGAGGGUGCAAGCGUUAUCCGGAUUUACUGGGUUUAAAGGGUGCGUAGGUGGGUAAGUAAGUCAGUGGUGAAAUCUUCGAGCUUAACUCGGAAACUGCCAUUGAUACUAUUUAUCUUGAAUACUUUGGAGGUAAGCGGAAUAUGUCAUGUAGCGGUGAAAUGCUUAGAUAUGACAUAGAACACCAAUUGCGAAGGCAGCUUACUACACAGUUAUUGACACUGAGGCUCGAAAGCGUGGGGAUCAAACAGG